RNAcentral lists this ribosomal RNA (300 nucleotides) under uncultured bacterium. RNAcentral's name for it is "bacterial SSU rRNA". It matches the Rfam family "Bacterial small subunit ribosomal RNA", at positions 1083 to 1382 of the family's 1533-position model. The record is from RNAcentral.
AGUCCCGCAACGAGCGCAACCCUUAUCCUUAGUUGCCAGCACGUAAUGGUGGGAACUCUAAGGAGACUGCCGGUGACAAACCGGAGGAAGGUGGGGACGACGUCAAGUCAUCAUGGCCCUUACGAGAUGGGCUACACACGUGCUACAAUGGCAAGUACAAAGGGUUGCAAACUCGCGAGAGUAAGCGGAUCCCAUAAAGCUUGUCGUAGUCCGGAUUGGAGUCUGCAACUCGACUCCAUGAAGUCGGAAUCGCUAGUAAUCGUGGAUCAGAAUGCCACGGUGAAUACGUUCCCGGGCCUU